GACGAACGCUGGCGGCGUGCUUAACACAUGCAAGUCGUACGGUAAGGCCCUUUCGGGGGUACUCGAGUGGCGAACGGGGGAGUAACACGUGCGUAACCUGCCCACAACUUUGGGAUAACGCUAGGAAACUGGUGCUAAUACUGGAUAUGUGCUCCUGCUGCAUGGUGGGGGUUGGAAAGCUCCGGCGGUUGUGGAUGGACUGGCGGCCUAUCAGCUUGUUGGUGGGGUAGUGGCCUACCAAGGCGGCGGCGGGUAGCCGGCCUGAGAGGGUGACCGGCCACAUUGGGACUGAGAGACGGCCCAGGCACCUACGGGGGGCAGCAGUGGGGAAUAUUGCACAAUGGGCGCAAGCCUGAUGCAGCAACGCCGCGUGCGGGAUGACGGCCUUCGGGUUGUAAACCGCUUUCAGCAGGGACGGAGCUUUUUGUGACGGUACCUGCAGAAGAAGCACCGGCUAACUACGUG
RNAcentral lists this ribosomal RNA (465 nucleotides) under uncultured bacterium. RNAcentral describes it as "partial 16S ribosomal RNA". It matches the Rfam family "Bacterial small subunit ribosomal RNA", at positions 28 to 507 of the family's 1533-position model. The record is from RNAcentral.